This 686-nucleotide ribosomal RNA is filed under the name Nesolagus netscheri (Sumatran rabbit). Its description in RNAcentral is "partial 12S ribosomal RNA". Lineage: Eukaryota; Metazoa; Chordata; Mammalia; Lagomorpha; Leporidae. The record is from RNAcentral.
ACAUAAAGGUUUGGUCCUGGCCUUUAUAUUAACUAGUAACAAAUUUACACAUGCAAGACUCCCCAUACCAGUGAGAAUGCCCUUAAUAUCUAAACAGAUAAAGAGGAGCAGGUAUUAAGCACACUAAAAGUAGCUCAUGAUGCCUUGCUCAACCACGCCCCCAAGGGAUACAGCAGUGAUAAAAAUUUAGCAAUGAACGAAAGUUCGACUAAGUUAUGUUAUUAUAAGGGUUGGUAAAUUUCGUGCCAGCCACCGCGGUCAUACGAUUAACCCAAGAUACCCCACUAUGCUUAGCCUUAAACCUUAAUAAAUUCAUAACAAAAUUAUUCGCCAGAGAACUACAAGCCAGAGAUUAAAACUCAAAGGACUUGGCGGUGCUUUAUACCCACCUAGAGGAGCCUGUUCUAUAAUCGAUAAACCCCGMUAAACCCUACCACUCUUUGCCAACUCAGCCUAUAUACCGCCAUCUUCAGCAAACCCUAAAAAGGAAUAAAAGUAAGCCUAAUUACUAUCAUAAAAACGUUAGGUCAAGGUGUAGCCCAUAGAGUGGAGAGCAAUGGGCUACAUUUUCUAAAAUAGAAUACACGGAGGCCCCUAUGAAAUCUGAGGCUAAAGGAGGAUUUAGUAGUAAAUUAAGAGUAGAGAGCUUGAUUGAACUAGGCCAUGAAGCACGCACACACCGCGGU